Gasterosteus aculeatus aculeatus (three-spined stickleback) is the source of this 975-nucleotide long non-coding RNA. Lineage: Eukaryota; Metazoa; Chordata; Actinopteri; Perciformes; Gasterosteidae. The record is from Ensembl.
CGUUGACUGUCAGCAACCAAUCACGUGCUGCUCACCUGCCCGCGUCGCAAAGACAAUCACAACAGGUGUAGACGGUCCGCGUAUUAAACGUCACCAGGGGAAUAAAACGAUGAAUUCCCCCCGUUUCGACGAACGGAGGAAAGACCAGCUGAUCUGACCCGACCUGACAACUAAACCAAAAUACAACAUAAUCCAGAUGGCUGUUUUACGCGCUGCGGCUCCGGGGCCGCCGCCAACAACGGCGCAGAGGCGGGGGCCGCGGCAGGGGGGUUCCCGACCGGCGGGCGGUGCAAAGGAAUGGACGUUAAACGCGAGGUCGAGGACGGAGAGGAUUUCAGCCGGAACUCGACAUUUUUACUUUCUAGUUUUCAGACUGAGUUCGGAAUGAGGGGUGAACUGGUCCGAAUGGUUGGAUUGUUUACCAAGUUCAGUCCUGUCGCUGUGCUUUUGUGACACCUACAAAUGGUUUGAGAUCCUCCAUUGGUGCUCAAUUAAUAUUAAUUGAUAAAGAAUUCCCAACAGUGGUGAUACCUCUAUUGACAAAAUGUGCUUUUCUUAUAUAAAUCAGAUAUUGUUGUGUUUUGGACUGUUGUAAAAUGACAUACAUUUGGAGUUGUGUUGCAUGGACACUUUUAGACUCUGCCAACAUUCUAAAUGGGCUAAAUGAUAUUAAGAACAUACAGAUUAAUCAAUAAUGACAAUAAUCAUCAUAGUUGAUCACCAUACUUUGCCUGUGAAUAUUGUAUCCAUGCUACUGCAGUACAACGGAUUUGCAUUGCAUUUGUAAACUGCCAAUCACUAUAAACAGUUCUAAUUGUCAGUAUGUUCUUAGAAUGGGGAAAUGUUCUUCCAGUGUGGAAUAAAAUGCCGAAAGCAAGACUCAAGAGGUCAUCGUUACCAUUCAUUUUAGCGGUAUCGUUUUCGUUUAACUUUCAGUUCACUUUUCCGCAACAUGAAGUCCAUUUCAUUGAAAAG